This is a long non-coding RNA of Ixodes scapularis (black-legged tick), 1430 nucleotides long. RefSeq lists it as uncharacterized. The transcript is spliced from 5 exons. The record is from RefSeq and is a predicted model, not a curated record. NCBI's taxonomy places the organism in Eukaryota, Metazoa, Arthropoda, Arachnida, Ixodida, Ixodidae.
GUUGUGUCAUGGCGCUCACCAGUCCUGUGCACAAGGUGCAGGAGGUGUCAGAUAUUUUACUUUUUUGGCUUUUCUGCAAACAUUAUCAAUGGUGACAUUCGAAUUGGUUCGUUGAAAGAUCGAUAAGCGCAUCAGGAAUGGAAUAAAUGUCAUAACUAUACUCUAGUAGACGAAACUUCCUUGCUUUUACCCAGCGGCCCAUGCAGGCUGAACGUUACAUCGAACCUGCGUUGAGCGUGGUUUAGACAUUCUUGUUGUGCUCACUGGGAUGCAUGUUCUCGUGCUCUUCUGCGACACGCCGGUCAUCCCAGCAUCUGACACGAGGUGCCGUUUCGGUGGUUGCCUGAUGAAAGUCUGCUACUGACAUUUAAAGGUUUGCCCUACGUGACUAUCCUUGCUGUGGACUCAAGCACCACCAACCAGCCUGAACCCAGCACCAUGGCUCUACUUCACUGGCACAUCAGAAAGCUCGCCUCCUCUGUGCCUCCGCUCAGCCUUUCCAUAUGUGACAACUGGUUGGCUUCUGUCCAAAACGAGCUCGGAGGCCAUGCAGGCACCUGGUACAGGAGAGCCGGCAGAUUUUGACAUCUCUGCCCUGCUCUGACAUCUCUGCACCUGAUCAGCAGCUGCUUCACAAGGUGCACAGGUGUGGUCACGAGUUGGGCUGCUGUUACUUAGCCGUCGUCCGUUCCGAACAUGGUGUCAGAAGCUGGCUAACACCGUCACUAUGGCGGAAGGUGACCUCCGUAUCCAAGUGGUUUGCGUCGGAGCGUAGGGACUUCAUCCUUUAGCACCAUUCACUUUCACCAGCCCGGCGGAAUGGCCCACUUGGAUUGCAACGAGGACAGUCAGAACGACUUCAGCCAUCACUGCCAAGCCAUCAGAACUUCAAGACAAGAGAUGCCGCAAACACGUCACAACAGGCAAACAACCACAAUCGCCCCAAGUCCUCUGACCCGCUUGAAGUUGGGGGAGGACGUGCGAGUUAAGGACGUCAAUUGCCGAGGCAGUAUCCUCGGCCCCGCUCAGUGACCACAGUCAUAUGUGGUGGAAACGCCCAGGGAAACUCUGCAGUGAAACCGUCGGCAUCUAAUCCCCUUCUCAAAAGGCCUGUCAACAGAGGAACUGCCAGCCAGUGAACAAAAUCCAGGACCAGGUUUACAGCAGUCUACGCCUGGUGAGGGUCAACCAGCAUCAUCGCCAGAGCUUCAGCAAGAAGGGCUUCGGCUGAGACGCACACUUUGCGGUCGUGUGAUUGGACCGCCAAGGCGACUGACUUGUAGAUCUUAAGGGGAGAUGUAGUGGGCACUACUAAGGUGAUGGUGUUUAUCUUAUUGCUCGCCAGAGGACACCAUCAUUUAUAGAGCGCUUAUAUAAGGAGCGGCGCGUGGAAAUAAAAAGGGCUUUCUUUUUUUUGGUUGUGGUCACGA